CCUUUACCUUUCUUAGUUGGUUAUUGAAGUCUUUUUUUAAGCUCUUCCAUACUGUGUCAAAUGCAUAUUUUUCUGUUGGACUUUGUGUCUGUUUCCUUUACUUUAGCUGUCCCCCUCUGUUUCUGUACCUUGAUCUUUGUCUCCAUAAAAAUUCUUUAGAGUUAGAUUUUUUUAAAUAUAAUUUCCCCUUUAUAAUUAUAUGUAGGCUCUGUUUUCUGGGAAGGUGGGUUACUCCCUUAAAUGCCAGUCCUUCCUUGAUGUUAUUCUCAACUUAUUUUCUGGGUUAUUACUAGUUUACCAGGUGGUCUGAGGGCUGUGACCACUGAGAGCUCCCUCCCCUUGAUGAUUCAAUUGAUCCUUGAGAUGCUGGUAGCAUAAAGACUUUCCUUAAGUUUGAGUGUCAGCUUUUUAUUUCAUUCUGAUCUUGAUCAUAUUAGGGGCUUAUCAAAUUCUAGCCCCAGGCUUAAGCUCAAAGUUUUGGUCUCAAGGUCUUCUUGAUUCAAUCAAGCACACUUUUGGUUGCCCUGUCCUGGGACUCUGUCCUUAGUUUUGGUCAAAAAGCUCCAGGGGGGUUCCCCCUGUUCACUGUGUUAUCACCCCAAACUGUGUAUUAUGUCCUCAUCCCAAGCCCAGACUGGCAUUCCUGCCUUUGCUCUGGGCCCACAUGGAACAGCCUCCUUCAGCCCAUAUUUCCUUGGGCUGGGAAUCUGAACUUCUCCACAGAGAAAGUACAUAUCAUAAAGAAUAACAUAGACUACAGGAAUAAUGAGACAGGUGGCUUUAUUUUACCAGAAGAGCAGAAGGUAACAGAAAUUUACCGGAUGGUCACUCUAUUUAUCUGA
This 842-nucleotide long non-coding RNA is filed under the name Monodelphis domestica (gray short-tailed opossum). RNAcentral's name for it is "lncRNA (ENSMODG00000050295.1)". Lineage: Eukaryota; Metazoa; Chordata; Mammalia; Didelphimorphia; Didelphidae. The record is from RNAcentral.